UAGCUAGUUGGUAGGGUAAAGGCCUACCAAGGCGACGAUCGGUAGCUGGUCUGAGAGGAUGGCCAGCCACACUGGAACUGAGACACGGUCCAGACUCCUACGGGAGGCAGCAGUGGGGAAUAUUGGACAAUGGGGGAAACCCUGAUCCAGCAAUGCCGCGUGUGUGAAGAAGGCCUGAGGGUUGUAAAGCACUUUCAGUGGGGAGGAGGGUUGACAGGUUAAGAGCUAGUUAACUGGACGUUACCCACAGAAGAAGCACCGGCUACUCCGUGCCAGCAGUCGCGGUAAUACGGAGGGUGCAAGCGUUAAUCGGAAUUACUGGGCGUAAAGCGUGCGUAGGUGGUUGGAUAAGUUAUCUGUGAAAUCCCUGGGCUCAACCUGGGCAGGUCAGAUAAGACUGUUUAACUAGAGUAUAGGAGAGGGUAGUGGAAUUUCCGGUGUAGCGGUGAAAUGCGUAGAGAUCGGAAGGAACACCAGUGGCGAAGGCGACUACCUGGCCAGAUACUGACACUGAGGCACGAAAGCGUGGGGAGCAAACAGGAUUAGAUACCCUGGUAGUCCACGCCGUAAACGAUGUCAACUAGCUGUUGGUCUUAUAAAUGAGAUUAGUGGCGC
Molecule: ribosomal RNA, 615 nt
Filed under: uncultured Legionella sp.
Lineage: Bacteria; Pseudomonadati; Pseudomonadota; Gammaproteobacteria; Legionellales; Legionellaceae
Description: bacterial SSU rRNA
Rfam family: Bacterial small subunit ribosomal RNA
Source: RNAcentral